CCGGUUGUGAUGAGGAAGUGGUAACACAAAUUCUAAAUGGCCUUGAUUAUGAUUAUAAUCCUUUUGUGUCUUCAGUUCUUGGACAGACUGAUCAGAUCUCUCUAGAUGAUCUGUAUUCUGAUCUGUUGGCAUAUGAUG
Molecule: small nucleolar RNA, 138 nt
Organism: Panicum virgatum (switchgrass)
Lineage: Eukaryota; Viridiplantae; Streptophyta; Magnoliopsida; Poales; Poaceae
Product: small nucleolar RNA Z247
Exons: 1
Source: RefSeq, a predicted model, not a curated record